AGAUUCAUAGGAUGACAGUGGAGGAGGGCGGAGCCGGAGGAUUCAAAGAGCUUUCAUCAACAUUCUGUGAAGACAGACGCUGUUUUGAUUUGAUAGCAUGUAUUCAGUCCUGGAGACUUCAAACCCAGGCUCUCUUUAUGAAGAAAGAAGAAUAGUUCAAGUUCCAGAGAAGGAGGCAAGGAAGCGCUAAAUUCCCCCAUCACUAGCCGUCGUAUUCAUUCCUUAGAGUUGUUCUAAGAAAUUGCCACAAACUGGGUGGCUUAAAGCAACAGAAAUUGAUUCUCUCACAGUUCUGGAGGCUGGAAGACCAAAGUCAAACAGUCAGCAGGGCCUGCUCGCUAGCUGACGCUGCGUGGAUUCUUCCCUCAGUCAGGAGCUCCGCGUUCCCCUGCUGCAACAGUUGAAGGAAAAACGGGAGAACGUUCGUUUUCAAAUCUGGCUUUGCUUCUACCAGGUCGAGUGACGCCGGGAAUUGUGUCUGACGCUUCACUAUGACCUGAGCAGAGUCUCCAUGCCUGCUGAGUGACUAGCGGACACUACAUGAGUGAAGGAGAGCCCAGCAAAGCCGCACUUGGCACCCAAUAAAAGAACGAAGAUCGCAAAAUCCAGCCACGGGUUCCUGAUGAGUUAUAAUGGCACAAAGCUUUGUUUAACAGUUAGCUUUGGGAUGAAAAGAUCCAGUGGCAGCUGGAGAUUUGGAUCCGGUGCUUUGCGAGAGGAAGUCAGCUUGAACUCAGAAGGGUGUUUGGGCUCUAAUCAAGCAGCACUGGGACCAGAGUCAAACUCAUCUCAAUCAGGACAAGAGGAGGCUUCCCUUGGGAAAAACAGGGUAGCGCUCAAGGAGAAUGACAGGUGCACUAGGGAAAACAGAGGCUCUACCUGUGUGAAAUUUCCAGAUUUGUUACAGAAAGCGGCAAGGAGUAGGAUAUAAAGAAAGCCAAAGAAAGAACACAAGAAAGUGGAUGAAGGAAGGAAAGGAAGAUGUUAGGGAGGGGAGAGAACAGAUCUUAGAAAUUCAAAUACUCUCACAGCAGACACUACAAGAUUAUGAGUCACUCAGUCCUAUGGGACUCAUAGUUCACGCCCCAGAUGUGAGCCCGGUACAGUGGGGAUAUGUGGAAUUCGUCACGGGAGAGAGGGAGUCCUUGCUCAGCCACUUACUGGAUGAAUACCAUUGAGUGAAUCACCUUCUCUAUGCAUCAGUUUUCUCUACCACAAAAUUCAAAUAAAAGAUGCAUUCACAGUCUUACUGUGAACGCUAAGAAAUGUACAUGAACACAUUUUGUAAGCCAUACCUUGUUCUGCACGUGACCAUUAUCAUGCUACUUGCAGAUCACAUAACAUUCAGUGAUGUUUUCCUUCAGUCUACUUCUUUCUAAAGCACAGUUAUUAAGAGUUGGUUGUGAAUGGACAGCUAAGAACCUGGGGUGAACCCUCACACAUCUGAGGCUAGCCAUGGGGUUAAAUGCUAGCGCAGGUGUGACCUUCAACCUGUCCCGUCCCAAACCUUCCUACCAGGGGUGUCACAAGAGCCAGGGGUGUGUAGAAGACAUUCUCAAAUCCGUGGUUUUCUUAGUAAAGUGGCAGAAGGAAAGUGACUGAUAGUGAAUUAUAGUAAAACACGCCCUGCCCUUCUACCUUUUCUCUGCUACGUAGUUCAACUUCUAGAUUUUGUGCCUCCAAAUACCAGCCUUCUUGGUAUGUUUAUAAAUACGAACCAGUAAAAAAAAAGUAAAAAAUAAAGAAUUUCUUUAUGUAUUUUUAUUUUAAACGAACAGUUUAAAAGCUUUUUCAUGGAUUUAAUUUUUUUUUUUUUUUUCAAAGCAGCUUGGAGAUAGAGCUAUAACCUAAGAGAUUGGUUUUUCCCUCUGUGCUGAGCCUGGAGAGCAUAGAAUCUGAAAUCUGGCCUUCAUUCUACAAUAAACGGGGAACUGAGUGGGAAGGGGACUUGCCCAGGGACACAAUGAUCGACUAUCAGAUUGGGACAAGCAUUCCACUCUCCAGUAUUCAUGGCGCCAGACUUCACCUACUGUGAGCUCCUCUAGAACAGAAGCUGAUUCUCCAUUUUGGCUGCGUAUUAGAACCACCUGGGGACUUUUUAAAAUCCCAGUGCCCCAGCUGCACCGCGUACCAAGUGAAUCAGAAUCUCUGGGGGUGGGACCCAGGUGUUACUACUUCUCGUAGCUACUCAGCAGACAAGUUUGAGAACUCAUGUUCUAGAGGACAAUGUUGAGUUCGGUAUUCAUGUAAAUAAUAAUGGCUCAGUGGAUGGAGCACUUUCUCUGUUGAGGCUAUCGCGUCAAGCGCUCUCCUGCUUUAUUCCACCCAGGUCCUUGCUGCAGCCUUCUCAAGUAAGUUCUGCUGUUACUCCCACCUUACAGCAGAGCAACCUGAUUCCUAAACAAGAGAGACACCUUGCUCAAAGCCAAGUAGUUCUCAAGAGGCAAAGUCCAAACUGCAACCCGGAGCUCUUAUGGACUAGGCUACACUACAUCUCUAACCUGACAGGCAGCCCUUCUUUGGCUGAGAGAGGAGUCACCAAGGUUUGUCCAGUGACUAUUUCUUAAUCUCUACUCAUAACUCGACAAAAAUUCAUUAUAGAUCAAGACAGCUGACCUUAAGGUGUGAAUCAGCCAUCAGUCACACGAGUAACCUGAACUUACACACGAUGCCAGAUGUGGGAUCCCGUAGAACACUGACUUUUGUGUAGCAGCCCAAAGGGCUAUUUUCAGGAAAAUAUGGGGCCCUAACACAUAGUUUUGCUUCAGGGUUGGUUCCACUUGAUUCUGUUGACUGACUAUCCACAUACUAAUAUUUCAUAGGACACGUCCAUCCAUGUCAUCCCAAUCUAACUUCUCACAGGAGUACCUGAUGUCCAGCCCAGCAUUUAUCUGUGGUCUCCUCCAAAGUAAAACAAAGAGGAUGGAAACAAUGUACAGUGAGAAACAGCUCUCUAUUAUAGUUAUUUUAGGAUUGAUUUUGAUAAACAGAAGUCCAAGGACAAGUUCUCAGAGGUCUUGAAAUUCCCUAGAAGACUCCUUUAACAAUUUAAAAUGCCAUAUUCUGAAUUAUUGGCACAAUUGCUUUAUUUCUAAAUCCUUUCGUAUAGUUCCAGUGUCCAAGUUUGCACUUAUAUUUAUAAAUGAGUUGUCACCAAACAGGGCUACUUUAACUGUCCCAGGCUAAUGAGAAAAGAACAAAGGCAGAUUUAGUAGGCAAAUGAUGAACUCCUGCCAUGUGAACUCUAAAUGACAUCACUGUGAACUGUGGGGAUGAAGGUUCUGAAGCAGUGCGAGAAGUGGUGAAAAAAAUUGACUUCAGUCCGACAGAUUGGGAAAGGCCUAAGCAAAUUAAAGGAAUAGUCCACACCGUAGCCCUAAUGCAAGCGGCAUUUGAAUUACUUUUGCUUUUGUAAUUUGGUUUUAGCUUGUUAAUUUGUUCUGACUUCAAAGUAGUAUGAAUUAAAAGCAUAAGGAGUUUA
Orcinus orca (killer whale) is the source of this 3481-nucleotide long non-coding RNA. RefSeq lists it as uncharacterized. Lineage: Eukaryota; Metazoa; Chordata; Mammalia; Artiodactyla; Delphinidae. The record is from RefSeq and is a predicted model, not a curated record. The transcript is spliced from 4 exons.